This 515-nucleotide long non-coding RNA is filed under the name Anser brachyrhynchus (Pink-footed goose). RNAcentral's name for it is "lncRNA (ENSABRG00000019922.1)". The record is from RNAcentral. Lineage: Eukaryota; Metazoa; Chordata; Aves; Anseriformes; Anatidae.
UCAGUUAACAUGGACUUUUUAUGUUGUUAAUCAUAUGUAUUUCUAAGCAUCUGUCUUAGUGAUCAAUCUUAAACCAGACUGCCCAGACCUGACAUGAAGGCAGCCUUCAAGAAAUAUUCAUUCUGAUAUUCCUACACUGUAUAAACAAGCGAUCAGCUUGAACCAACUGGAGCCAACAGUAGCUGUAUAAAAAUGAGUAUUGAUAACAUCAAAAUAGAGGGCUGCUGUGACAUGGUUAAAGGACAUCUAGCCACAGCUGAUCCAAGGCUUUUAAGGAGCAUUGAUGAGCUGCAAAGGAUCACCUCUCAGAGAUGCUCAAGGAUAGGAAAUGCAUCAUUAAGAGUGGCCAAAAGAAGGUGAGAGGAGCCAUGUAUAGAUGAAACUACUUUAUGGCAAGUCCACCCACCUGGAGACCCUUGGUCAUGUCAAUGGUACCAUAUAGCAACUUGAAUUAGAGAUGGCUGGAAGAUCUUGUGUGAAUAAUAAAAACAUGAACCUGUUACUUGAAGGACUCA